This 1152-nucleotide long non-coding RNA is filed under the name Triticum aestivum (bread wheat). RNAcentral describes it as "long non-coding RNA (TAES_LNC012249)". The record is from RNAcentral. Lineage: Eukaryota; Viridiplantae; Streptophyta; Magnoliopsida; Poales; Poaceae.
GAUAUAUAGAUCGUGUAGAUGCUGAUGGAGGGAAGAACAAAGCCAUACGUCAGAAGAAUAUUAGUAUAUGCGCGUUCGUCAGAUUUUAUACAAAGAUGAUGGAGUUUCAUCUUCUUGCAGAAUAUUAUUCUAAAGGAGAAAUCAUAUUAUCCGAGGCAAGUAGCUGCUUUGCUAAAUUUCCUGAUCUCUCCUUAUUGUUGUCUUGCUUGAUUAUCUGGUAAUAUCAUUGCACCUUGAUAUUUGUUGAUCCUCUGUUGAUCCUUGAAAGAGGGAUGUGUUUUCCUCAUAAUCCAUUUGUUGAUGGAAUCAGAGUAUUUUGGAGGAACUCAUGAAAAGCCAUGAGUGUAUUGUCUUUGACCGAUACUUCAGUGGUCCUAAUGUUGAUUCAAACACACAUCCAUCUAUAUUGGUGUCACGACGGCAAACUUAUUGUACCGGUCACGGUUCAGGUAUGGGACUGUCUGGGCUCUCCAUUAAGGUCGGAUCUUGUUCGGGAACGUGUCGGUGAUGGAUCCGUAGGAGCGACCGACAUAAGUAGGUACAGGUGUCCGGGUCUUAGUGGGUAAAAGAGCUCUGCUCUUCUGGAACCUGUGUGGUUCUAGUCGAGGCUGUCGACGUCGGAGUACCCCUCUUAAGAGCGUAAAAGUGUGAAAUUUCACCCCUGUGACUCCCGGGUUGGGAAGCUUGCGGUCAUGUGUGACGCCAAUAGAUUCCUUGCUAUUUUUACUAAAUCUGGUAUUUUGUUCUUUUGUCCAUUUACAUCAAAAUACGAUUCCAAUGGUUGUUACAUUGUUAUCCUUUGAAUUCAGUUCGUCUGUUGAUCUACACCAUCAUACCAUUGCUCCUUAUUGAGUAGUGAAGUAUUUGCUUGCUGAGUAUGAUUUAUCGUACUCACCCUUGUCUCCUCCGUCUUUUUAGAUGCAGCCGAUGUAACUUAAGUAUGCCCAGAAGAUGUCAUCCAAGAAUAGGCUGGACCAGUGGGUGGGAAACGACUAGAGAUUUUAAUGUAUUUUGUCUAUUUGUAUAUGUAAAGAAAUUUCUGUAGUCAAUAUAUAUGAGCUUUUGUGAUCCACUGAUGGUUAAUGCUUAAUUAAUCACGCCUUGCGUGACUAUAGUCCUCCUGGUCUAUAGGCGCGCGGCGGCUGUCUCGCC